Molecule: ribosomal RNA, 544 nt
Filed under: fungal endophyte
Lineage: Eukaryota; Fungi
Description: eukaryotic LSU rRNA
Rfam family: Eukaryotic large subunit ribosomal RNA
Source: RNAcentral
CGGAGGAAAAGAAACCAACAGGGAUUGCCCUAGUAACGGCGAGUGAAGCGGCAACAGCUCAAAUUUGAAAUCUGAUCUCUUCGAGGUCCGAGUUGUAAUUUGUAGAGGGCGCUUUGGUGUUGGCUGCGGUCUAAGUUCCUUGGAACAGGACGUCAUAGAGGGUGAGAAUCCCGUCUGUGGUCGCAUGUCUUCACCGUGUAAAGCCCCUUCGACGAGUCGAGUUGUUUGGGAAUGCAGCUCUAAAUGGGAGGUAAAUUUCUUCUAAAGCUAAAUACUGGCCAGAGACCGAUAGCGCACAAGUAGAGUGAUCGAAAGAUGAAAAGCACUUUGGAAAGAGAGUCAAACAGCACGUGAAAUUGUUGAAAGGGAAGCGCUUGCAGCCAGACUUGCUUGCAGUUGCUCAUCCGGGCGCUCGCCCGGUGCACUCUUCUGUAGGCAGGCCAGCAUCAGUUUGGGCGGUUGGAUAAAGGCCUCUGUCAUGUAUCUUCUCCGGAAGACCUUAUAGGGGAGGCGUAAUGCAACCAGCCUGGACUGAGGUCCGCGC